This 649-nucleotide long non-coding RNA is filed under the name Coccomyxa subellipsoidea. Its description in RNAcentral is "long non-coding RNA (CSUB_LNC000704)". The record is from RNAcentral. Lineage: Eukaryota; Viridiplantae; Chlorophyta; Trebouxiophyceae; Coccomyxaceae.
GCAUUCAGCCAGGUGAUCCGCAUUCUGUCUGUGAACUCUCCAGAUUCCCUGGCAGAUCGCAAUCUACUCAGACAGCUGUGUACCUGUCACUGGUCUCAUUUAGCUGUGCUUUGAUGUGCAGAAUGUAUGAUGGAUAGUUUUUCAACAGCAUUGGCACCGGUCACAUCUCAGGAAAAUAAUACAGCAAGGAAUAACACAGCAAAUAUCUCAUUCUCACCUGUUCAUCAUGUCAGCCAAUACAAUUGCUGAUCUGGAGCUGUAACCAGUCCUCUCUGCCGCACGUGCAGCCUCUAGCCCCUGUGGGGUUCCCGGCCGAGAACCCACCACAGCACAGAGCAUGCCUGGACAAAGAGAUUUUCAUGUCAAAAGUACGCACUGACAUCAGUCUCCCAUCUCAUGUAAGCAAUUAAGGAGUGGUCAAGAACAAUUCAUGGACCUCCAAUAAUUGUCUUGCAAUACUUGAAGUCUGCAUCAGGCACCAAAGGAACCAGAUGGCACCUUCAUCAGAGGUCUCAGCUUGAGGACCAUAUAUUUCUCUUAUGUCACAGAACCCUGUGCUGAAUAGUAAUUGCCUCAAACUUGCAGGAUAUGACGCAGCACUCCGGUCUGUGCCCUGUGCAGCCCCGACGGAGUGCCUUGCAAGAAGGAU